UGGGCCAUUCUUGCUAGGGCGAUGAUGAUUGACCAUGGCUGAAAUAGUGUGUCUUUGAGCAAUCGAGGCACCUGUGGGUAUCAACUUGGAUCCUCCCUCUUGUCUCUAGAAUCCUUUUUGAUCAUGUGAUACUGAUGGCUCUGUCCUUGGACGGUCAUUCUUCUUGAGUGACAACCAGGGCAGCUCCACAGUAUAAACUGGUUGAUCUGGUUAUAGCAGAUGAUGUGGGUAGGUUAUAUGAUUGAGCAAAGGCGAAUCUGAGCCCACUAUGCAAUAAGCUCCAUUGUUUAUAUCUGUCUUGUGUAAAGAUUUCUUCUCUAUACCUUCAUUGCAUAAGUUUUGCUUGACCUUUUUUUGUUCGCCGUUGCUCCUUAAUUUAAUCGGGUUAAGAGUAAGUUGCACUUUGUUAUGUUAAGAAGACUUGCUCCCAACAAAUUAUCGGUUGAAUGGCUUGUUUUAAUCAGUUGUCAUACUAUCACUUCUAUUUUUCUGCAAGUUACCAGUUGCAGCUAUUUGUUCUUACAUGCUACAAAUAAUAAUGCAACUGGAUUGUUUUGGAGAGAAUGCUGGACUUUUCAUGUAAAGAGUGACCGAGGCAGAAUGUCACAUGUUACUGUUUGUAGCCAUAAGCAAUUUUUCAACUGCUUUGAUUAAGUUGCUAGGUUAAUCUGAGCCAUUGAGCGGUCAUUUUCUUUUGUUUUCUUUAGUUUGUUCUGAAGCUUUCCCCAAUUCUGUCUGUGGCCACUACAUUUUUUUGGAUCAUCCACCAGACUAAAUGUAGCUGAACUUCAAAGGAUGUGUGUUUUGUUAGUGUCUUAACUUGUUUCCUUGCUAAGUCUUCUAGGUUAUGUUGUUCUGGUGCUGCCUUCUUUAUACAUAUAUUUUUUGCAUCGCUUUGUCUUGCACUCUUCUUGGCAAGCUUAUAACAAUGAUGACCUUUGUCCAUUUAGACAUAGCAACGCGCGCUCUGCACUUGACAUGUGGAGAAGGCACGCUGUCUCAAAAAAAAGUGGAGAAGGCACGCAUGGUACCGCUCGACAAAACCCUCGCCGUCGCACUCUCUCACAUGCUCACUAAUCAUUAGUUUUAAGUGUGAGACCACUGUGGCCACUUGGAAAAUGGUGGCGAUGAGGAGGCGCGACCACUCAAAAAACAGUGGCGAUGAGGAGGCCCGGCCCUUGUCGGCGACCUGUCCCUCUGAACGGCGGCAACGUUGGAUCUUUGCCUCGCGGGGCCAGCUCACCCUUCUGCUCCGUGCCACGAAGCCGCCGGCACGGCGGCCCUUGCGCUGGGCAGCUGCUGCGGCAUCGUCGGUGUCAAGUGCGACGGUGGGGGUUGUGGGGACCGCGGGGCGGGGGACUGGCAUAAUUUCCUAUUGUGGGUUCUGACGACAUCAAGCUGUAGAUCUGAGCCGCCGCCAUGUCCACUUCAUUUCUUCCAUGUUUCGAUUUGGUAACCCACCCCACUUCCUCCCCCUCGCUCGCUGUGCAAUGUGAGCGCGUCCAUUUAUAAGGAGGUGCUUAUGUGUUCUACAUGUGCGAGUCUCGGCGUUUUGGUGAAGGUGGAGCUGUGCAAGUGUUUGGUUGGUCGCUGGUUCCAGAUCCCACCUCUAUGGGGGCUGCCUCUGUUGGAUGCUGGGAAAUCUUAGGGGGUAGGGACGGACCCAGCCAGUGAUGGCACUGCCACAACCUUUGCAAGUAAUUUGGCGACCACCACUGUCAGUGGCUUAGCUUUGCCAAUAAAUAUUGGAACCUCGUCAGCAUCAUUAUCUUGGUCGCUGUCUCAAUCACCUUGGUACUCUUUGGUUCACAGGAUUCUAGAAAUGUGGGAAUAUGAAGGAAUAUGUGAUAGAAUCAUCCAAAAUUCCUUUGAAUCAAAGAGGCCUCAAACUUGCUGGUGGUGGUGGUGGUGAUGCUGGUGCUGGUGCAAGCUCCUCUCUCUCUACUGCAAAGUUCCUAUGAGCUUCCUUUGAUCAAAGAGGCCCUAAGCUGUCACACUUCUUGUUUGUGUAUGGUGCAUGGCUUUAUGAUUAACCUCAGUGUCUGGUUGCUGAACUGUGCCGUGCUGAAUGGACUUUCCAUUUUGACAAGUCUGCUAGAGUUGCUCUUAGCUGGCGUGGGGCUAUGAUGAUUAAUUAUGGCUGAUAUAAGCAUGCUCUCGAGCAAUCGAGGCACUUGCGGGUAUUAAGUUGGAUCCCCCCUCGUUUCUUUGAGCCAUUUUGAUCAUGUGCUUAUUUUAGUGGCUCUGUCCUUGGAUGGUCAUUUCUGAUGGGUGAUAACCAGGACAGUCUCACCAUUGUAAGAACAGAUUGAUCUGGUGAUGGAGACACUAGUGGAAGGGUCAUAUGAUCGAGCAAAGGUGAACCUGAGCCCAUUCAAUUGCAGUUCUGGUCUCAAGAACAAUGUGCUAUGUUGUUGCCGUUCUGUAUUUAUAUUUAGCUCCUAUUUGGUUGGCAGGAUUUUAAGAACACAUUAAAGGGCAGCCUGGUGCAUGUAGCUCCUGCUUGCGCAGGGUCUGGGGAAGGGUCGCAUCGCUUUGGGUCUAUUGUACGCAGCCUUUCACUACAUUUCUCUAAAAGGCUGUUUCCAGGACUUGAACCCGUGAUCUCAUGGUCACAAGGCAGCAGCUUUAGCACUGCACCAAGUCUCCCCUUCAUUUUAAGAACACAUUGAAGGAAAAAAAAAUGAAGGAUUCCAUUGUUAGGGCAACUCCAACACUUACCCUGAACAGCCGGCUGGGUGGAGGCCAUUCUUGCUAUGGCGAUGAUGAUUGACCGUGCCUGGAAUAAGUGUGCCUUUGAGCAAUCGAGGCACCUAGGUAUGAAGUUGGAUCCCCCCUCUUGUCUCUAGGAUCCAUUUUGAUCUGUGAUAGUGAUGGCUCUGUCCUUGGAUGGUCAUUCUUGGUGAGUGAUAACCAGGGCAGCUCCACAGUAUAAAUGGUUGAUCUGGUGAUAAGAGAUGAUGGGGGUAGGUUAUAUGAUGGAGCAAAGGCGAAUCUGAGCCCACUAUGCAAUAAGCCCGAACCCCUUUUUAUUUGUAUUUAAAGGUGUUGCUUAUUUAUGCUCUAGUGUUUAUAUCUGUCCUGUGUAUAGAUUUCUUCUCUUAUACCUUUAUUGCAUAAGUUGUGCUUAAUCUAGUCUGGUUAAGAGUAAGUUGCACUUUUUUAUAUUAAGAUGACUUGCUCCCAGCAAAUUACCGGUUGAAUGGCUUCUUUUAAUUAGUUACUCCCUCUGUUCAUCAGUACAAGACCUUUUGAUAGUUUAAUUCGAACUGCCAAAACGUCUUAUAUUGAUGAAUAGAGGUAGUAUCAUACUGUUACUUCUGUUUUCCCGCAAGUUACCAGUUGCAGCUAUUUGUUCUCACAUGCUACAAAUAAUAAUGCUACUGGAUUUUUUAGAUUUUUUUUGGAGAGAAUGCUGGACUGUUCAUGUCAAGAGUGACCGAGGUAGCAUGUCAAAUGUUCUGUCUGUAUCCAUAAGCAAUUUUUUGACCGCUGUGAUUAAGUUGCUGGGUUAAUCUGAGCCAUUGAGCGGACAUUCCCUUUUGUUUCUUUAGUUUGUUCAGAAGCUUUCCCCAAUUCUGUCUGUCACCACUGCAUUAUUUGGGUCAUGCACCAGACUAAAUGUUGGUGAACUUCGAAGGAUGUGUUGUUUUUGUUAGCUUCUUAACUUAUUUCCUUGUCAAGUAAGCCUUUGGGGUUAUUCUGUUUUGUUGCUGCCUUCCUUGUACAUAUAGUUUUGGUCUUUUGCAUCGCUUUAUCUUGCACUCUUCCUGGCAAGCUUAUAUCAGUGAUGACCUUCGUCCAUUUAGUCGUAGUAUCUAUUUGAAUAAUGAAAAUUUGCUACCAUUUGGUUAUCACCAGAUGUUUGUCUGUUGACAAAACAUGUUCCAGGAAGGCAUUUUGUCUGCUAUGUUUUUUUUGAAAUAGAAUUCUGAUUCGGGGCAACGAUGAUUGACCAUUGCUGAUAUAAGCAUGCUCUCGAGCAAUCGAGUAAGCUGUGGGUAUUAAGUUCGAUACUUCCUCGUCACUUGGAGCCAUUUCAACCACGACAAGAAUUAUGGAACGGAGGGAGUAUAUUUUUUUUGUGGCUGUCCUUGGAAGGUCAUCUUGAUGAGUGAUAACCAGGGCAGCCCCACACUAUAGUAUAUAUUUUCCUGGCAAGCUUAUAUCAGUGAUGACCUUCGUCCAUUUAGUCAUAGUAUCUAUUUGAAUAAUGAAAAUUUGCUACCAUUUGGUUAUCACCAGAUGUUUGUCUGUUGACAAAACAUGGUCCAGGAAGGCAUUUUGUCUGCUAUGUUUUUUUGAAAUAGAAUUCUGAUUCGGGGCAACGAUGAUUGACCAUUGCUGAUAUAAGCAUGCUCUCGAGCAAUCGAGUAAGCUGUGGAUAUUAAGUUCGACACUUCCUCGUCUCUUGGAGCCAUUUCAACCACGACAAGAAUUAUGGAUCGGAGGGAGUAUAUAUUUUUUUGUGGCUGUCCUUGGAAGGUCAUCUUGAUGAGUGAUAACCAGGGCAGCCCCACACUAUAAACGGGUUGAUCUGGUGAUAAGAGAUGAUGGGGGUAGGUUAUAUGAUCGAGCAAAGGCAAAUCUGAGCCCCCUCAAAUGCAAUUCUAGUGCUCUUUCAGCAUAAUGUGCUACACUGUUUCUCUUUUUUUAUCUGUAUUUGAAGGUGUCGCUUAUUUAUGCAACUGUGUUUAUAGCUGUCCUGUGUACAUAUUUCUUCCCUUAUACCUUUAUUGCGUAAGUUGUUCUUGCCCUUUUUUCCGUUCUUGCAUCUGUCUGCACUAUAGUACAUCAAGUAUCAACAACAACAACAACACACGGAGCCUUUGUUCCCAAACAAGUUGGGGUAGGCUAGAGGUGAAACCCAUAAGAUCUCGCAACCAACUCAUGGCUCUGGCACAUGGAUAGCAAGCUUCCACGCACCCCUGUCCAUAGCUAGCUCUUUGGUGAUACUCCAAUCCUUCAGGUCUCUCUUAACGGACUCCUUCCAUGUCAAGUAUCAGCCAAGAAAAAUUUGUACUUUGAUGCUACAUAUUCAGUUUUCAACUUAAAUGGAUUGCUGUGGCCCCCAGCAUACUAUAUUUUGUGGUUGCACACAUGCACAGCAAAAUACUCCAAAUCUGCUGUGGUCUAAUGAUGCUCUCAGUAGAUAGCAUAUUCUUGGUUGGUUCACCAGUCAUCAGAUAAUUUUGCAUGUAGGCAUUGCUAUUGAUGAUGUUCCACAAGAUUCUGGAUCCUCCUAACUGCGAAGGAUGUUUGUUUUGUUAGCUUCUUAACUUUCUUUUCCUUGCUAAGCAAGCCUUUGGGGUAAUUCUAUUUUGUUGCUGCCUUCUUUUUACAUAUAGUUUUGCAUCGCUUUGCUCUGCACUCUUCCUGGCAUGCUUAUAACAGAGACCUUUGUCCAUUAGACAUAGUAACUAUUUGAAUAAUCAAAAUUCGCUACCAUUUGGUCACCACCAGAAGUUUUUUAGUUGACAAAACAUGGUCCAGGAAGGUAUUUUGUCUGCUAUAUGUUUUUUGAAAUAGAAUUCUGAUUUGGGGCAAUGAUGAUUGACCAAUGCUGAUAUAAGCAUGCUCUUGAGCAAUCGAGUAAGCUGUGCGUAUUCAGCUGGAUCCUCCCUCGUCUCUUGGAGCCGUUUCAACCAUGACAAGAAUUAUGGAACGGAGGGAGUACUAAGAGCAACUGUUAACAGAUUUGCUAUAUUUUUGGUGGCUGUCCUUGGAAGGUCAUCUUGAUGAGUGAUAACCAGGGCAGCUCCACACUAUAAACGGGUUGAUCUGGUGACAAGAAUGAGGUAGGUUAUAUGAUUGAGCAAAGGCAAAUCUGAGCCCCCUCAAAUGCAAUUCUAGUGCUCUUUCAACAUAAUGUGCUACACUGUUUCUCUUUUUUUAUCUGUAUUUGAAGGUGUUGCUUAUUUAUGCAACUGUGUUUAUAGCUGUCCUGUGUACAUAUUUCUUCCCUCGUACCUUUAUUGCGUAAGUUGUUCUUGCCCUUUUUUUCGUUCUUACAUCUCUCUGCACUAUAGUACAUCAAGUAUCAGCCAAGAAAAAUUUGUACUUUGAUGCUACAUAUUCAGUUUUCAACUUAAAUGGAUUGCUGUGGCCCCCAGCAUACUAUAUUUUGUGGUCGCACACAUGCACAGCAAAAUACUCCAAAUCUGAUGUGGUCUAAUGAUGCUCUAUCAUGUAUUUUAAUAAGCAUGCCUUAGAGCAAGCUUCUAUAUCGCCGCCCUUCUCCACGGAAGCAUAUGUUCAAGUCACAAGCGAGUGUUGGUGGUGCUGUAAUUCGUAUGGUCAAUCAGUGCAACAUGCUCCUCAUAUACUUUUUGGAUGCAACUGAGAGUGCAUGUGCACAUUAAAUGCUGUGAAUCAAAGCUUGUGUGCCUGGUCAGUAAUUUUGAUAUGUGAGCCCUCGAUUGGCUAUGUAUAAUGUGUUGUUCUCUCGCCAUGUAUGUGUUGAGUGUUGGUUAACAAAAUGAUAAUGUUCAGUGAAAUUUUUCAAUAUCAAACAAAUUUGUUUUACAGAGUUUUUUUAGUUCUAUUGAAUUUCCCAUGAGAGUUUUGUAUACCGGUACCAUUGUGUCUCUUCAUGAAUGCGGUCCUGCUGGGCAAGCCUGAGAAGCCCUUGUACUAAUAGUUUGUGUAUCUGAGCAGUUUCUUCCUUUCAACUGCGAUGAUGUGUGCAAUUUCAUCUUGAUUGUAAAGUAGAGUUUCCUUUCUACUUGAGGUUAGAUCGAGGUCAGUAGGCAUCAGGAGGAUUACAUAGCCCAGUAUCCUCCCUUGCCACAUAAUUUUGCAAGCUAUUGGUGACCAUGAAUUUUUACGGGUUCUGUAUGCUAAACAAUGCUCUCUGUUUAAUGCAAGAUAUUUUGUUUGUAUUGUAUUGCUAUUGCACAAGAUUUCUGGUCCUAAUUUUGAGGCACUAUUUGGUUUUGCUUGACAGUAAUUUUGGCGCUUUACAUUUCAACUAAAAUGCAGGCAGGGCAUGUUGUUUGGUCAUCUGAUCUUUUUCUUCUCUCCUACGGCUACUUGUUCUUUGUUUGUUUCUGAUCAUUUUGGCUGCUCUCAAGAGAUGCUUACCAUAUUCUCGCUUGGUUCAUCAGUGACCUCAUCCAUUUGGUUUGGUGCCAAAAGAGAAAGGGUCUUCCAACCAAGUUUCAUGUUGAUCUCAUUGGCUCUAGCUUGUAGAUAUCGCUGCCUGUGGAACAUAUUUUAGCGUCUCCUAAGUUGGGUUCUAGAGUGGUUGCACUCUGUUAUACCAAGGUAGACUUGCUGGCUUGUUUUUAAAUGGUUGUCAUACCAGCAUUGUUUUCUCCUCGCAAAUUACCAUUUUGUUCUUUCAUGCGACAUUUUGUUCUUACAGCAAGUAUGUUGCAUGUUGCUGUCUGUAACCAUAAGCAAAUUUUUGACUGCUGUGACUGUGAUUGGGUUGCUGGGUUUAGCUGAGCCACUGAGGUGAUAUUUCUUGGAGAUGCUCUGCUCCUUCACUUGAUGGUCCCAAACAUAUCGUUGCCGUAAGAGCAUCUUUCUUGAAGUCUCGAGUGCCAGUUUGGGUGUUCGACGCCUAUGGUCUGUUCUAAGUGCUGCGGUUUGUCGUGUUUCCCGUGACAGGUUUCUUCAAUGUUAAGCAUCAUUUAGCAUGUUAUUGUUUUCUCAAACCGUCUGUCUUCAUCUCUUGGACUUGGUUUGAAUAAUUAUGCACUUUUGGAUGUACGUGUGCAGGGCUGCAUGCAGGCUGGCUGGCUGGCUGGGAGUGUAGGUUCUCGCACACCAGCGCCUUCUUAAAUCCAACACCACAUGCCACAUGGGCAGGGACGCCGGCGAGCUGCAGAAAUGGGGGCCUCCUCCCAGCUCGCCGCCAUCCCGGCGCUGCUGUUGCUGCUCCUCAUGGCAUCCGCGCCCGCACCGGCAGCAGCAGUGAGCCCCUCCAAGCGCCCCACCCAUCAGCCUCCCUCUUUCCCCGCAGGAAUCUCUACCCUGCGGCAGCGGGCUGCAAGCUCGAGCGGCGGGUACGCCACUGCGGCGAAUCCGUACACGGCGCACUACUUCCCGCAGGAGCUGGACCACUUCACCUUCACGCCCAACUCCUCCCGCGUCUUCUCCCAGAAGUACCUCCUCAACGACACCUUCUGGCGGCGGAAGCCCACCGUCGAGCCGCUGUUCGUGUACAUGGGUGGCGAGGCCGACAUCGAGUGGUUGGCCACCACCACCGGCUUCAUGUUCGACAUCGCGCCAGAGUUCGGGGCUCUCAUCGUCUUCAUCGAGGUACCCUUCUUUGCCACAUCCUCCGCCAUGGCUGAUACUUUCAGGUUUCAGCUAAUCAUCAUAUCAUCGGUGGCCACGCCUUGGUCCAAAUUUUGGUUGUCGUGUUGCACACCAUUUUGUUUCUAAUUAAGCAUAUUAAUAAUAAUACUAUUAAGAGGUAAAGGGCCAACAAAUGCAUCUAUAUAGACUAGAUCGGUUGAGACACAUACGAUUAUUUUCUGUUAGUUGGAUCAAGAACAAAAUUCCCGCAAAAAAAUCAGAGCAAAUUUAUCAACUAAAUAUUUUCCAUCCGUACUCCACAUUGUUUAUAGAUGUAAAUAAUUCUAUAUAAAGAGUAGAAUUCUGAAAUAUAUAUAAAAACACAUUUCAAAAUGUUAAAAAAUUCUGAACAAUAAUUUCGUGUGUACAUCCGGACAUUCUAUCUAUCUUCGCACACAAAAAUUCGCAAAUAUAUAUAAAAAAUUUGUGGCAUGUAUAAAAAGGAAAAAAAAAUGUCUCAUGAAUAGUUGUAAUCAAGCACCGAAAAUUGUAUUUUUUACACAAGCCACAAAAAUUGUCCCUUUUCAUCGAAACUUUGUGCGUGAACAUAUAAUGUCCGGAUGUUCACAUGGGGUUUUUUCUCGAAUUUUUUGAACUUCUUAAAAAUAUGUAUUUAGACAAUGGGUGCAAUACACCUAUGAACCAAAGUGAAUUUCCGCUACAUACGGAUGUAUAUAGACAUAUUUAGAGUGUAGAUUCGCUCAUUUUACUUCGUAUGUUGUUCAUAUUGAAAUCUUUGAAAGGACUUAUAUUUAGGAAUGAAGGGAGUAGGACAUUAACUAGCCCAAUUCAGGCUUUGAUAAGAUAUAAGAUAAUAACAUGCGGAUUAUGUUACAGAAAUCAAACUAAUAUAAUUGGAUUUGUAAUAUAAAUCUCUUUUCUUCACUUAUCAUUUGAUUAUUUUUAUCUUAACUGCAAAUGAAAUAUUGAUUAUAUAGUUUAAAAUUGAAAAAAUGUGUGCCUUGCAUUUGUUACGGAGGGACCAUGCAAUAAGUUAUUUUAGUCACGCUAAAAACAUGGCAUACUUACAUGACAUGGUCGAUGAGAGAGAGAGUGAGAGAAGUCUGAAAUAACAAUUGACGGAGCGAUACAAAGAAAAGUUCAUGUCUACAAGGUAUGCAAGAGUUGGUGGUAGCUAGGAAGAUAAUACAGAUAAUGUUUUCACAAUUAUCGUUAAAUAUGAACACAUUACAUUAGUAGACAUGGAACAAAGGAAAUUAGAGUAAGGCAGCAUGUGUGGAAGCAUGUCGAUGCAUGUCAUAUCCCUAAUUGAACCUAACUGCAAUACCACUAACGACGAGAAAGGGAAGAAAAAAGGCCCAAUGAUAUUAUGUUUCGAUUAUUUCUUAUUUAAAGCUCCUCUUCAAGAUAAAUGUGAGAUGCUAAACACCAGCAAUUGUCCGAUCUACGCGAAUUUCAUUAGCACAAGAUAGUUGGUGGGUACAAUUGGUAGAUCGGGAUGUACGAUACCCUGCCUUAGAGGAUGAACUAGGGUUCCUAGCUACUAUGAAUUUGGGGAAUUUUCGGGUCUCCCGUGCCCUGCCUUGCUACAUAUAGCUGGCCAGCUCAUACAGUAAUUAAACGGUUACAACACAGUGAAGUUUAAAGUGAGAAGUAACUGGCGAGGAUCCAUCCGAGCCGUUGGAUCUCCCUGAACUCCCUCGAGUCAUCUUGACCGUUGCUUGACUGAACUUGUGCGCUGUUGGUGGUCUUCAGAACUGUCUUGGUUUCGGUCCUGACAAUGCCGCCGCCAUAACAACCGCCUUGUCCUCAAGGUGGAAUAACUUGUGGCCUGGGAAUGUCUUGUUUAAAAAUGCCGCAUCUUCCCACGUCGCAUCGUUUGGCGCCAAACUUUCCCAUUGUACCAAGCACUGACCCACAGGUGUUUUGUUCCUUUGUAUGACCCUACGAUCCAACACCGCCACCGGAAUUGUUUUGACAUAUCCUUCUGCUGUUACUAGUGGAACAUGAGGCAGAGGAACCGCUCGAUGACCCACAUGCUUCUUGAGUUGACUGAUGUGGAAAACAGGGUGAAUGUGAGUGCUCUCUGGUAGUUGUAAUUUGUAUGAAACUUCUCCAAUUCUCUCCAGAAUUUUAUACGGUCCAUAGAAUUUUGACCUCAACUUCAGUGAGCCUCUCAGCCCAAAAGCAUUUUGCCUGUAAGGUUGUAUCUUAAGAUACACCAUUUCUCCCACCUCAAAUGUUCUUUCAGUCCCGUUCCUAUCUGCAAAAUACUUAAUCCUGCUUUGUGCCUGUUCCAAGUUGGCUUUCAGCUUGUUCAUCAUGUUUUCCCUUCCCUUUCUGAAACUGUCAAUCUUGCUUCUGGAGAUAAUGUGGUGUCCAUAGCAAAUUCUCCCACUUGAGGUGGCUUGUAGCCAUAGAGAGCUUGAAAUGGAGUACACUUGAGAGAAGAAUGGUAACUGGUGUUAUACCAUAGUUCAGCUAAUGGCAACCACUUUAACCAUUUCUUUGGUUCUUGGAACACUAUCCCUCGCAAAUAAGCCUCUAGACAUUGAUUUACUCGUUCUGUCUGGCCAUCUGUUUGAGGAUGUGAAGCUGUACUGAAUCUGAUCUGCACCCCAAAUGCUGUGAACAAUUCCUGGUAUAAGUUACUGGUGAAGAUAGUGUCUCUGUCCGACACUAUGCAGAUCGGGAGCCCAUGUAACUUGAUAACAUUAUCCAUUAAGGCUUCAAAUACAGUUAUCACUGAGAAAGGAUGUGCCAAGGGAAUGAAAUGGGAGUAUUUGGUUAGCCUGUCCACUACUACCAGAAUGACUUCUUUGCCUUGAGAAUUUGGCAGUGCAGUGAUAAAAUCCAUGGUAAUAUGUGACCAAGCCAUAUCAGGAACAGGAAGUGGUUGCAGCAACCCAGGAGGAUGGAUGUGUUCUACUUUGUUCAAUUGGCACACAGGACACUGGCUAAUGAAUUCUUCUAUGUUCUUCAUGUUGGGCCAGUAAAAUACCUUUUUCAUCCUGUAAUAAGUUGCUUUACUCCCAGAAUGGCCUCCUAAUGCGGAGGAAUGGAAGGUUUGCAGUAACUGUUGCCUGAAUCCUGUGCUGGCUCCUACAUAGAUUCUGUUUUUGUAUUUUAACAGCCCUUUUGUCAAGGAGAACUUGGGAUCUGGACCAAUAUCGGCAGCUACUUUCUGCAGUAAUUUAUUGCUGUCCUGAUCCCCUUGAUAGCUUUGUAUCACAUCCUCCGUCCACUUUGGAACUACAACAGUAACACUGUUGCACUGCAUUGCUUGUAUUGUCUCUUUCCUAGAAAGUGCAUCAGCCACUACAUUUUCUUUUCCCUUUUUAUACUCAAUAGUAUAGUCAUACUCCAACAAUUUCAGCAGCAACUUGUGUUGUACCCCUUCUGUCAACCUCUGAGUUGUCAUAUAUUUCAGUGACUGUUGAUCUGUUUUAAUGACCAAUUUGUUUCCCCACACAUAAUGUCUCCACUUCUUGAUUGCUUCUAGGAUGGCCAUUGCUUCCUUCUCAUAAAUGGACUGAGCUGCAGACUUUGGUCCUAAACUUUUACCGAGAUAAGCCAGUGGCUUCCCUUUUUGCAUAAGAACUGCUCCAAUACCUGUGGCACAUGCAUCAGCUUCAAUAGUGAAAGGCACAGUAAAAUCUGGCAGUGCUAACACAGGGCAGCUUGUCAUUGCUUCCUUUAAUUUUUGAAAAGCUUGUUUCUGUGCUAUGCCCCACUGAAAUGCAUCUUUUCUCAACAUAUCAUGCAAAGGUCUACAGAUUUUCCCAUAAUCUUUAACAAAUCUUCUGUAAUACCCUGUUAGACCCAGGAAUCCUCUUAACUUGGUGGCAUUUUCUGGUUCUGGCCAAUCCAACACAUCUCUGAUUUUCCCUGGAUCCGUGGACACUCCUUGUUCAGAAAUCACAUGACCCAGAUAAUUCACUUGAUUUGUUGCAAAUGUACACUUAGACCUUUUUACAUACAACUUAUGUUUUUGCAGUGUGGCAAAAGUUCUUUCCAAAUGUUCCACAUGUUUUUCUAAGGAUUUACUGAAAACCAGCAUGUCAUCAAAGAAUACCAAUAUACAUUUCUCCUCCUCUGGUUCAUUGAUUUCUUCACAAACAUUGUUCAUCAGCCCUUGGAAAGUACCAGGGCCACUAGACAGACCAAACGGUACCACUGUAUAUUCAUAAUGCCCCAUAUGAGUCUUGAAGGCAGUUUUUGGAAUAUCUUCAGUGGCCAUUCUGAUUUGGUGGUAACCUGACCUCAGAUCUAACUUAGUGAACACCUUAGCCCCAUAGAGCUCAUCCAACAAGUCCUCAAUUAUGGGCAUGGGAAAUUUAUUCUUUAUUGUGAGUGCAUUUAGCUCUCUGUAGUCCACACACAAUCUCCAUCCUCCAUCUUUCUUUCUGAUCAUAAUUGCAGGAGAAGAGAAGGGACUGAAACUCUCUUGUAUUUCUCCCUUUUUAAUUAAUUGCUUGAUAAUUUCUUUCAUGGCCUGCUUUUGGUAAUGAGGCACUCUGUAAGGUCUCAGAUUAGGUGGUUUUGCCCCUUCCUGUAACACAAUUCUGUGAUCACACUCUCUUUUGGGAGGAAGUUCUUGAGACUCUUCAAAAAUCUCAGCAAAUUUAUGGAGGAGUGGUUGUAGAGCUACAGGAGGAGUUUGUUCUGUGUUGUUAUCUGAUUCCAACUCAUGUACUUGGAGGAUGUAUCCCAUAACACCUUUCUUCAGUAACUUUUCCAUUCUGGCUGCUGAAAUUACACACUUUUUCAUUGGUAUUGUAUAAUCAAACAAGGUGACUGGUUGUCCUUGCUUGGUCAGAACCAACAGCCUUUCCACCAGAUCUAAGCAAAUGGGACUGUACUGAUAAAUCCAAUCAGCUCCCAAUAUAAUGUCAUAGGAGACUAGAUCUAACACUUUAAAACUGCUGUGGAAAGUAUGACCUUGCACUUUGAAAUUUCUGUCUGGAAUCUUAGCUACAGAAACUAAUUUUCCACCACCUGCCACUGUUACCUUUCUGGGAGACAUAGGUUGUUGGAAACAAUUACUUUUAAUUGCAAAUUCUGUGCUCAUGAAUGUGUCCGAUGAUCCACUGUCAAACAGAGCUGUUGCUUUCUUUCCAUCCACUUCUACUAUCAAGGCAAAUGUGUUUGCCCCUGUUGUUCCUUCUGUGGCAUGUGCAGAAAUGUGCAUGGCCUGUGUUGUUUUUGGAACAGUCCCUUCCGGUCCUUUUUCUUUGUCUGGAGUAUUUGGUGCUGUAUGAUAUAUCUGUUCAGGCAUAGUUAUUUUUUCUGUACUUUCACUAUCCUCAUCUUCAUCCACUUCUUGUAAAAUAUGCAAGGUUUUCCCAAUUUUGCAUUUGUGCUGUCUUGUCCAUGGUUCUCUACAAUACCAACAUGCUCUGGCAUCUUUAGGAAAGGGACUCACUUGCUUCUCUUGAGCAGGUACUUGUACUUGCAAUGGAGGAGGUGUUUGUUUAUAAGCAGGUUGAUAUGAUCUGUUUUUAUAUCCUGUGGAAUAGGGCAACUUCCUUGCUGCUGCUGCUUUUUCAUAAACCUUUGCAUACCAAUAAGCUUCUAUGAUCCCUGUUGGUUUCUGUCCACAUACUUCAUGCUUUAUAUCUGGUUUCAAUCCUCCAAUGAAACAGCUGAGAAGAAAAUUUUCCUGUAGACAGGGAUGGUCUCUCUUAACUAGAGCUACACAAUUUUCAAACUCAUCAAUGUACUGUGCUACUGAUGUGUGCUGUUGAAUAUUUUUCAGUAACUCCACCGCUUCAUGCACACUUGCUUCUGAAAACCUGUCAGCAAUCAUUUGACAGAAUUGUUGCCAAGUGAUCAUUUGCCAUGGAACGCAUAUGUUCUUCAACCAAUUUGAUGCUCUUCCUUGUAGAUGACCAGUAGCUAGAUUGACCCAUUGGUCAUAGGGUGUGCCAGACAUGUCAAAGAACUUCUCACAGGCAAUCAGCCACCCAAUUGGAUCUUCCCCACUGAAUAAUGGUAUUUUCAAUCUUGGUCCUUUCAGAACAGCUUCAGCAAAAUAAGAAGGGCCUCCCAAUUGUGUUGCAUGUUGGUUUCUUUGAGCCUCAUACAAAUUUCCUGCUGCCUGAUAAACUGGUGGGAGAGAAUUUGCUGUUGUUGUCAUGUUGAUAUACUGCCCAGUGAUUGGAUUGUAUGUUGGCCUUGGGUUAUAAAGUGGUGCAUUUAUCGGAGCAAAAUAUCCACUAUUGCCUAAAAACCCCAAUGUAUGAGCCUGUACUGCCACACUGGUACUUGCCGCUGACACCCUGAAUUGCUGUUGUGCUGGAUUUUCUUGCUGUUUGUCAGUGUGGAUCUUGGUGCUUUCAGUAAACAUACUCACUGGAGGUAACCCUGAGGUUAUUCCUGCCCCAACUGUGACUGGCAUAUGUCCUUGAUUCACGAAGUCUUGAUGCAGAUUUCUGGUUACUGGUGGCUGAUCCAUUUUUGUCUAAAGAGGAACUGAUAAACCUUGUGGACUGUUCGCUCCCCUUUCUGAACAUACCGGAGAAACAUCACUUGGUGUUGCUGGCUCCACCUUCUGACUGCUUACUGACAUGUUUUGCAAUAUCAGGUUGAGAGUCUUCUGAAUUUCCGUGUUCAUCUCUGUCAGUUUUGCUUCAACCCGUGGCAUAGUCACCAUUUCAGAGCGUAAUUGCUGUACUUCUGUUUUCAAUCCUUUCAGAUCCGAUAGCUCCUCUCUGAAUUCCGCUACUUCCUUUUCCAAUCUGUCCAUCGUGAUCUGAACUUUUGCCCGUGUGUCUGCCAUCUUCAGAUCGAGUGGAUGACCGACACCUUGAAUUUGUACUCCUCGAUCUGGGCUUCACUCCUGUGUAGCCGUCGGACGAACUGAACCUUCCAGUAGCACAUGGAUCGUCGUCAGGGACAGGAAUUUUACCACGCGGAGAAGAUCCCCACGCAACCUUCCCGAACUCGUCGAUCUGCGCCCAAAUGCUCGCCGCCGCCGCGGUCGCCUCCACAAACUUCCCCACCGCCUCCGCAAACAGGGAGGGACGGGAGGGAUUUUACAGGAGAACCCAACCCCUCGUCCUCCUCUGCCUGAUCCGCCGCCCAGCGUCGCUGUUGCCGAUGAAUCGACUGGCUUCUGAUACCUUUGUGAGAUGCUAAACACCAGCAAUUGUCCGAUCUACGCGAAUUUCAUUAGCACAAGAUAGUUGGUGGGUACAAUUGGUAGAUCGGGAUGUACGAUACCCUGCCCUAGAGGAUGAACUAGGGUUCCUAGCUACUAUGAAUUUGGGGAAUUUUCGAUUUGGGUCUCCCGUGCCCUACCUUGCUACAUAUAGCUGGCCAGCUCAUACAGUAAUUAAAUGGUUACAGCACAGUAAAGUUUAAAGUGAGAAGUAACUGGCGAGGAUCCAUCCGAGCCGUUGGAUCUCCCUGAACUCCCUCGAGUCAUCUAGACCGUUGCUUGACUGAACUUGUGCGCUGUUGGUGGUCUUCAGAACUGUCUUGGUUUUGAUCCUGACAAUAAAGAAGCAUCAUAAUGUGGUGUUAAUUUUUCGUGUCUAAUUUCUCAAGGCCAAUGAACCAGAUUGAGAAGAAAUAAACAAACAUGCUAUUACCAUUUAACAACGGGCGACAAAUCUACCCACGCAAAUGCAUGGGUCAUUCCGCUAGUUGGUACUUAAGCUUCAUUAAUGGUACUAAAUAUCAUCAAUGUUCACUUGUUCAAAUUGCAACUUGUUUGAAAUUUGUGUGUCGGAGUGCAGCAUCGGUUCUACGGGGAGUCAAAGCCGUUUGGCAAUGACUCGUACAAGUCAGUUGACAUGCUGGGCUACCUGACGUCCACACAGGCGCUCGCCGACUUUGCCAUCCUCAUCACGAGCCUUAAGCAGAACAUGUCCAUUGUUGACGCCCCCGUCGUCGUCUUCGGCGGCUCUUACGGUGGCAGUAAGUCUAUCACUAACGUGUUUCCUUAUAUUAUAUCCGUUCAUGCAUUAGUCUGAAUCUCCUUAAGUUUAUUAUUAUUUUUAGGAGGGCUUGCCGCCUCCCGGCUCGUUUUGGGAAUCACCGGGCUUGGGGUGGGGAGGGGNNNNNNNNNNNNNNNNNNNNNNNNNNNNNNNNNNNNNNNNNNNNNNNNNNNNNNNNNNNNNNNNNNNNNNNNNNNNNNNNNNNNNNNNNNNNNNNNNNNNNNNNNNNNNNNNNNNNNNNNNNNNNNNNNNNNNNNNNNNNNNNNNNNNNNNNNNNNNNNNNNNNNNNNNNNNNNNNNNNNNNNNNNNNNNNNNNNNNNNNNNNNNNNNNNNNNNNNNNNNNNNNNNNNNNNNNNNNNNNNNNNNNNNNNNNNNNNNNNNNNNNNNNNNNNNNNNNNNNNNNNNNNNNNNNNNNNNNNNNNNNNNNNNNNNNNNNNNNNNNNNNNNNNNNNNNNNNNNNNNNNNNNNNNNNNNNNNNNNNNNNNNNNNNNNNNNNNGAGAGAGGGGUAGUCUCACCAAGACAAUGCGACAACAUUACCAACCGGCUCCUUAAACCGCCGAGAUCAAAUGUUCGAAGUCCAAAUCCGCAUGAGGUGAUCUCGAGGUGAUGUCGAGGUGACUCCAAAUCAGCAUGGAGCUCAGAGAGUUGAUGAAGAUGUGGUGGGUGUCUUACAAAUGUGCACUAAGCGGGCUUUUCUUUCGAAGCAACAUUGGCAAGACCAUUUCGUAGAUUCGCAUGCAAUCCAUCUUGCAUGGUCUAUAGAGUACGAUGUUGGUUUUUUCCGGUCGACGGUGGCGGCGGCCGCGGGCGUCGUUUCCUCCAUGAAGGCUCCGUUGUGGUGUUCCCUUUCCUUCAUGGUUCUCUGGGUGAAAACUCGAUCUUCGGGGUCGGGCGGUGGCGACAAUCCGAUGUCAUGCCCUUCGUGAAGGCACCACCUUGGAGUCCAUCCUCUGUCAGUGUCCUGCUUCACUUCUUCUCGGUGGCUAGUUCUCGGGAGGUCCUCGUUGGCUACAAGUGGUUCUUUUUGGCUCAUCUGUAGUGCUUGGUGGUUGAUUGGGUAGUGUGGCGGUGCGUCGACACCCUUGUAUCUUGCCUUGGGUGAGUGUGGUGUGUGUGUUGGUGGCUUGUUGUAUCCGGAUGUGUAUCUCUGGUCGUUGCUUUAUAUAUGAAGUGGGGCAAAAGCCUUUUUCAGUAUUAAGUGGGUGUGGAGGCUGGGAAUGUGGUGGCUAGGGGUUGCUGUAAGCCAAACAGAAGUGGUGAAGUUGUUUCUCAAACAAAAGAGAGUUGUUGCAGUUAUGGUAGCUUUAUUUUUUUGCGAAGAAGGGUCCCUAUAUAUUAUAAAUUUCACCAGUAGUACAAAGCACUCCUGACAUAGUAAAAAUAACAUUGAGGUCCUUGGACCACUACCGCCAGCAGAACAAGCCGUCCACGCGCUCCUUUCGCUCUUCCUCUAUCGGUGUCAGCCUGACCUUGUCGAUGACAGUUGGGAAGUCUUCGUGCAUGUGUCCCUAAGUACCAGCAUCCUGGACAAGGUCGUUGCUGUUGAACCCAUGAAUCGGUCCGAAGUGCUUGACACCAUAUGUGGUUGUAAAGAAUGUGAGGCGAGAAACCUAACCUCGCCACUCCAAGGAGACGGCAAGACAGGAACUCUGUCGAAUCUGCCCUGAUGGCUAGGUUAGAAUGGAAGAAUGGUCAAUAGACGUGACCGAUGGAGCCAGGGUGCUGGGAUUGGUAGUUUUGUGGAGAUCAAGAUGAGCUAAUAUACACUAAUGUUGCCAUGUCGAUAUUACAAAUAAUGAUGUCUUAUGGUCUGUGGCUUUGGCUGUUGGUUCUAGUGUUGGCUUCAUGGUUCAGGUUAAAGUAUCCCCAUGUUGCCAUCGGAGCCCUGGCGUCUUCUGCACCCAUCCUGCACUUCGACGACAUCACCCCGUGGUCAAGCUUCCAUGAUACCGUCUCACGGGACUUCAAGGUAAUUUUCUAUAUCUAAAUAACUAGCUGUCACUAACUAUUUUAGAAAACAUGCAGCUAUGCUAUUGCUACCUCAUUAUCCUAAUAAGUUCUACUUCCUCCGUUCCUAAAUAUAAGUCUUUGUAGAGAUUUCACUAUGGACCACAUACGGAGCAAAAUGAGUGAAUCUAUACUCUAAAAUACAUCUAGAUACAUCCGUAUGUGGUCCAUAGUGAAAUCUCUUCAAAGACUUAUAUUUAGGAACGGGGAGAGUAGAAAUUAAUUGCAUGCAUGUGUCCUUCGCACCAAGUUUUCUUCUCCACAUUUAUGCGGGGUUUUUCUUCUUCUGAAUUCCCUACUUGUAAGUGAGCGCACAUAUGAUGCGAUCAAGAUAUACAAUAUUAUAAUUAAAAUACUCAUAUUGAUACAAUAAAAUCACAUGGAAAUAUAUUGCAACCAAUUCGUGCGGCAAUGCGUGGGGUGUCAUCUAGUAUAAUUAAUUAGCACUCCAUAGUAACAAGAAAAAGAAAUAAGUUGGCCUAAUUAUUGGUCUCGAGAAAGCACGGCAGGUCGACAUGAACGUCUUCUGCAAACUGAUUGAUGGUGUCGGCUCUGGAAAUUAUUAGUACUGCUACUGAUUGCACUUGUCACUUGUUGUCCGGUAGCAUGUCUCUCUUCCUCUCAUCCUCUGGUGUUAUCAAUACUAUCAUAUUGGUUUUCAGUUCUGGAUUAUGAAUUAGUGAAUGGUGAUGGCGGCUAGCCCUUGCACUUUCCAUGGGCAUUCAGCUUAAAUUUAUUUGAUUGAAUGUUACCUUCCAGCCAAUGAUGUAGAUGUCUAGGUGAGGUCUUGAUUAUGAGUUCAUCAUGGCUAUUCAGUUGUUGAUUAGCUUGGUGGCGAUGCUCAACCGCAUCAAGAGACUAUUUUUUUGAACCAUGACUGCACGUGAACUAAAUAAAUAGCACUGAAGGACUAUCAAUAGGCGGUUGGGAGUAAGGUCCUCAUUUGGCCAAAGAUAUGCAGAUUGAUGCAUUUUGUUCAUUACUGAUGAUGAUGACGCAUCUGUUGCUAAUAACAUAGGGAUAGGAUAUAACAUGGAAAUGGAAUGAUAAGUAACUAGCUAGUGACAUCUUUGUCUGACUGGUGCUUGAUUAGUCCUUCUCCCCAGAUCAAGUUUCCAUGGAAACCCAGGUGUUUAGUCAGCUGAUUGUAACAUCCAACUAUUUUGCAGUCCGAGAGCCUGAAUUGCUUCAGUGUCAUCAAGGCAGUCUGGGAUGUGCUAGAUAACAGGGGAUCCAACGAUACAGGGCUCUUGGAGCUCAGCAAAACCUUCAGGGCCUGCAAGUAAGCUUUGCUUAACACAAUUACUCAAUCUUUUCAUGAAGAGAGAAAAUGGUUUUUUUUUUCUUUACUCAUAACUGUAUAGGACACCGGCCGCAUGGAAUAAAACUUAUUGAUAUAGAGAGAAAAACAAGAGAUUAAGACUGCAAGUAUUCUUUUCUAUCUGUAAAGUGUAAGUAAAGUAAACAAAUAGUCAAACCUUGUAGCAAGAAAUACAUGAAAAAAAAUGACUUGCAGCCCCAAACAAGGUACAUUAAGUUCAAUGAUAAAUCGAUGGACAAAUCUAAUCUUGCCAUGUUAACUGGAGUGGUGAACUAAUGAAGGAUUUCAUACUUUGAGCAAAUCGACAAGAAAUGACACUGGUUCAUGGCGUUGCUUUACCCUUUGAAUCUUAGGACCGUGCAGUUCAUUUAUUCGCUGAGCAGCUGGCUACAGACAGCGUUCAUCCACACAGCCACGAUGGACUAUCCAACCCCAGCAAAUUUCUUAAUGAAUCUGCCUGCUUACCCAGUCAAGGAGGUUAGCCACUUGUAACCUAAUUUACAACUAUUAUUCUCGCCUGCAUUACAUCAAAUGAAUGAGAGUAACUUGAGUUUCAGAGUUACCAAACCGAGUCAUGCAAAAAGAGGACCUGUUCUUUUUUCUCCUCUGCUAUGCAUGUAAUUCUCCUGACAUUUCUGCAGAUGUGCAAGAUCAUUGAUUCUUUUCCUGCGGGAGCAGACGUCAUCGACAAGGCUUUCGCUGCGGCGAGCUUGUACUACAAUUACACAGGCGACAAGAAAUGCUUCCAGGUGGAGGGUGGCGAUGACCCUCAUGGCUUCAAAGGAUGGGGCUGGCAGGUACAAGCCUGACUCACAUACAUGUGUAUGUGGUGUACUGAACUACUGAUAACACAUGAAGACUGAGAAGAUCAUAUAUGUGUUUUAUGAAACAAACUGUUGUGCAGGCCUGCACAGAGAUGGUCAUGCCAAUGACGGUGUCGAACGAGAGCAUGUUCCGACCAUCCAGCUUCAGUUACGAGAAGAUGUCCGAGAGCUGCCUUGCGGGCUACAGAGUUCGUCCAAGGAUGCACUGGAUCACUUCUGAAUAUGGUGGCCAUGUAAGUUUUUGUUCAGAUUUUCAGUGUUUGUAUACGACCGUCAGUAGCAGCAUUUGUUUGGGUUACAUGUGCUCACCUGGUACUGCAUUGCACAACCCACUACAGAAAAUUGACAAGGUUCUCAAGAGGUUUGGGAGCAACAUCAUCUUCUCCAACGGGAUGCGAGACCCGUGGAGUGGAGGCGGGUAGGAGUAAAAGAUUUCUCACCGUCUGAUCUAUUCAUGUUGAUAGUUUCAACCAUUUAGGUAGCAAUUUUACCAUAGUAAACAAUAGUAAUAGCUUUCCUUCUGAACUGCUACCAGGGUACUCAAGAACAUAUCAUCCAGCAUCAUUGCUCUUGUCACGGAGAAAGGUAAACUUGAAGUUGUAGAAAAUAUGUAAGGUCAAAAGUAUUGUUAACUUACGAGUGGCUACUUCUUGUGGUGAUGUUCAGGGGCCCAUCAUUUGGACUUGAGAUCUGCAACCAAGGAUGAUCCAGACUGGAUUGUAGAACAAAGGAGACAGGAAACUGAGAUCAUACAUGGAUGGAUAGAUCAGUAUAACAAGGACAUUGCACAGACGUAGCAGCAAGAAGGCGCCAUUGAUUUUCAGUCAUGGAAAAUAAAUAUGGCUUGGUGGCUUUGUUAAUCUAUUAAUCUGAAGUCAGGCAAUCGCCUUUUAUCUAAAUAAAUAAAUAAAUAAAUAUGGUUACAUGCAAAAUGUAAGGAUUUUCCUUUCUUCUACAGGGUGAUAAGCAGUAAAAGAAGAAGAUAAUGCAUUAGUGCAACUUCAAAUUCAACAAGACACCAGAAAUUCUUGAACUUAAGCGGUCAUACGUGAAUCAUGAAUGCAGAGGGUCUAUUUUUCUUCGUAACUGUUGGAGUGAACAUUGAAUUUAGGGACAAACAUGUAUUUGUCCCUGCUGAAAAUUUUAAUGCAUGGUUUUGACAUAUGCGAUGUCUAUGACGUGUGGGGUCUGAGUCCACAUGUUAUACACAUUGGCCAUAUUUCACAAAAAUAAAUAAAUUGACAUGGGCCAUGUUAUUAAUUUGCAGGGGCCUCUCAGGAAAGAAGCGACAUUGCAUUAAAAACAAGUGCACCCAAACUGGUUAUAACUGACAUAACAUAGCAUAACACUGUUUGUUCUUGUAUACACAACACUGUUUAUGAUCCCAGAAAAUAAGACCAAUUUAAAAGCUAAAGCUAUGUUGAUGGAAGCCCCCAAGCCUGCUUCUAAUUAACUCGACCGCUGCAAUUUGCACAAUUUCACAGAUACAAUAUGAAAGCAUCAUCUUGAGUGAAAUCCUGCACCACAGAGGUUUGAUUUAGAUACACCUGACCAGCUCAGCAGAUUCAUAUGCAAAGUCUGAAAGGCCUAGAGAUAGUGUCAAAUCAUCAUAAAGAAGGCACAUAGUUUUUUCACCUGAAUAUGGUCUUGUUAAAAAAAAAGGAUUGAUCCAGAGAGAAGGGAAACCAAAUGGAAAUCCUAAACAGGUCGACCCUAUUUAUGAUAAAAACAUACGAAAAACCACACAAGCAAUGAGGCCUUGUCGACCACACGGCACACGACCAUAGUCUUAGCGAAUGCACACUUUCAGAUCUGGAGCCGCCGCUCCGACUUGUCCCGCUCGCAUGCAAGCCGCAACUUCACGUAACUCGGCAGCCACAUAGUCCUUUGUUACUCGCGCCGAUCCAUAAUAAGUGUUAGUAGUUUUGAACUAAGGUUGCACUAACCUUAAUUCAAAAUUGUGACACUAAUUUUGGAUCGGAGGGAGUAAUAGUUAUCUUCCAACCACACAAUUUUAUUUUGAGACGUCUUAUAAUGAUAUUAGCGGAGCAAUUCAUAUUACGACAAUAAGAUUAAUACAAUAACAAUCGGCCCCGCCGCCGUCAUCUUAGGGCCCGGCGCGGAUACGAUGACGCAGGGGCAAGCGGGAGGUGGUGGCCGGGCCGGCGGCGGCUAGGAUUUUCCCCGAGUCGCCCAGCUCGGGCGAUGCGGGGGACAUGCCUCUACCUCUUCAUGGAGGUUCUUAUAUCCCGGGAAUUCCGUGUAAUGUUGUUGAUUGAUUAAUAAAACUGACAUUUCUCUAAGAAAAACUUAGUGUCGUACGACCAUCUUGUCUCGUCUGCGUUCUUAAACCCCACAGAACGCUUUAUGCAAAGAAAAUGAACCCCACACGACACGAGCACUGACACGAGCAAUCUGCAGUGAGAGCUCUAGCGACGGCAAAAAUGGCGGCCUCCUCCUCGCUCCUCGCCGUCGGCCCGGCGCUCCUCGUCCUCUUCUUCACGGCGCUCGCGCCCGCACCACUGGCAGCAGCAGCGACCUCCUCCAAGCUUCCCAGCCAGCCUCCUCCUUUCCCUGCUGGACUCGCUCCUCUGCAGCAGCACCGGGCGGCAAGCUCGAGCGGCAGGUACACCACCGCCGCCACGGCCCCCGCGAAGCCGUACACGGCGCACUACUUCCCGCAGGAGCUGGACCACUUCACCUUCACGCCCAACUCCUCCCGCGUCUUCUCCCAGAAGUACCUCCUUAACGACACCUUCUGGCGGCGGAAACCCACCGCCGGGCCGCUGUUCGUGUACACCGGCAACGAGGGCGACAUCGAAUGGUUCGCCGCCAACACCGGCUUCAUGUUCGACAGCGCGCCCGACUUCGGCGCCCUCCUCGUCUUCAUCGAGGUACCCUUUUGGCCACAUCCUCUGCCAUGGCUGAUAUCGUCGGUGACCGCACGCGCCCUGGUCCAAAAUUUGGUUGUCCUAUUGAUUCUGUCGAGACAAGACACCAUUUUUGCUGUUGUUUAAGCAUCCAUAAUAGUAAUCACUUGUUUAAAUUUUGUUGUUCUCAUGCUAAUUGGCAUCCAUAGUAAUUACACUCUAUUUUCCCUCUCACAAUGAAAAGAGACGCAAGCUUUAUGUAUUCGUGAAAAAAAAAAGAAAUUACUAAUUAGUACUAACUGCAAUCACUUGUUCAACUAGUAUAAUAGUACUAACUUGUUUGAAAUUUGUGUGCAGCAUCGGUACUACGGGGAGUCGAAGCCGUUCGGAAAUGACUCGUACACGUCGGCCGACAUGCUGGGUUACCUGACGUCCACGCAGGCGCUCGCCGACUUCGCCAUCCUCAUCACCAGCCUCAAGCAGAACCUUUCUGCCGUCGAUGCCCCCGUCGUUGUCUUCGGCGGCUCCUACGGUGGCAGUAAGUCCAUCACCGACGCGUAUCCCCAUAUCGCCAAUUAAAUCCAUGUGUGCGACAAUCUUUUUUGAGAGAAAAUUAGGAUGAGCUAAUCUACAAUAAUAAUGUAGUCAGUGUGGAUGCAUCUUCCAAAAAUAAAGUACAGUAAAUGAUUUUAUGCCUGUUGUUUCUAGUGCUGGCUUCAUGGUUCAGGCUCAAGUAUCCCCAUGUCGCCAUAGGAGCACUGGCAUCCUCUGCUCCGAUCCUGCAGUUCGACGACAUCACCCCAUGGUCUAGCUUCAACGACAUUGUCUCGCAGGACUUCAAGGUAAUAAUAGGAAUUAAUCACUACUACUGCAUAACAUCAUCAUGCUUUAACUUCCUCAAAAGUAGGUCAAAUAAUUCCUGGAUGAAUGGCCCAGUGUCACUGGUCAAAUUAUUAGUGAUGAUAAGGCAUGGCAGAUCAACAUGCUCUCCUCUGGAUACUGAAUUUCACUUGUUGUCACCGUGUUGGCUCUGAAUUACUAUUAGUAGUGAAUUUCACUUGUUGUCGUGUUAUCAGUGGGCUCCCUGACGUGCUGCAGGGUGCAGUUGGGUCACUGACAUGUGGGCCAUCCAGCAGACGGGCCCACAUGUCAGUGACCGAACUGCACACUGCAGUACGUCAGACGAUCCCUGUCCGUUAUCAGUACCCUAGCGGCACAUUAGUGGUUUUCAGUUGUGAAUUAUGAAUAGGUGGUGGCCCUUUUCUUCAUGAGGAUGUAGCUUAACAAAUACGUUUGGUUGGAAUCUUCCAAGAAAAGAACAUGGAAUUUAAGUGCGUGAUUGAAAUGGCUAAUGAUGUGGAUGUCUAGGUGAUCAGGUCUUACCUUAAUGAGUUCACCAUGUCUAAUGGUUCAUUUUUGGAUUAGCCUGAUUGCGACGCUCAACCGCACAGAAGGGCUAUCAAUAGGCGGUUGCAAAUAAGGUCCUCACUUGUCCAAAGAUAUGCAAAUUGAUGAUGCCCUGUGACACAACUAUUACGUACUAAUACGGCAGAGACAAGAUAUAACAAGGAAAGGGAAUGAUGAUUCACUUGCUAGUGACAUCUUUGUCUUAUUCAUGCUUGAUUAGUAGCUGUCCCAAGUCAAGUUUCCAAAAAGAUAAAUGUGUUUAAUCAGCUUAUUCUAAGUUUGUAACAUCCAACUAAUUUUGCAGUCUGAGAGCCUGAAUUGCUUCAGUGUCAUCAAGGCAGUUUGGGAUGUGCUAGAUGAGAGGGGAUCAAACGAGACAGGCCUCUUGGAGCUCAGCAAAACCUUCAGGACCUGCAAGUAAGCUUUGUCCAACUGAUAUUGUUUUGGACAUGCAAAUCUCAUCUUGUCAACGGAGGAUAUGGACAUCAUACUUUGGCGAAUCGACAACGAUGACUCGGGUUGGUGACAUUGCUCUAUCUCAUGUAUUUUAGGACAGUGCAUUCCGUUUCUCGUCUGGGAUUGUGGCUAAGGGCAGCAUUCACCACCACUGCCAUGGUGGACUAUCCAACCCCAGCCAAUUUCAUGAUGAAUCUGCCUGCUUAUCCUGUGAAGGAGGUUAGCCACUUGCAACCUAAUUUACAACCCUUACUCUCGACUGCAUUACUACAUCAAAUGAAUCACGAAUGAGGAGAGAAACAUGGGUUUCAGAGCUACCAAACUGAGUCUGAGGACCUGUUUUUAUUCUUUUCUGCUGAGCAUGUAAUUCUCCUGACUUUCUGCAGAUGUGCAAGAUCAUUGAUACUUUUCCCGCCGGAGCAGACGUCAUCGACAAAGCUUUCACUGCGGCAAGCCUAUACUACAAUUACACAGGCGACCAGAAAUGCUUCGAGGUGGAGGGUGGCGAUGACCCUCAUGGCCUCCAUGGCUGGGGCUGGCAGGUACAAGCCUGACUCACAUACAUGUGAAUGCGGUGUACUGAUAACAAAUGAAGCCUGAGAAGAUCAUAUAUGUGUUUUCUGAAACAAACUCUUUUGCAGGCCUGCACAGAGAUGGUCAUGCCGAUGACGGUGUCGAACGAGAGCAUGUUCCCACCAUCCAGCUUCAGUGACGAGAAGAGGUCGGAGGGCUGCCACCUGUUCUACGGAGUUCGUCCGAGGAUGCACUGGAUCACUACUGAAUAUGGUGGCCAUGUAAGUUUUUGUUUCAGAUUUUCAGUGUUUACAUAUCAGUAGCAGCAUCUCUUUAGAUGCAUGUGCUCACCUGGUACUGCAUUGCACAACCCACUGCAGAAAAUUGACAAGGUUUUAAAGAGGUUUGGCAGCAACAUCAUCUUCUCCAAUGGGAUGCGAGACCCAUGGAGUCGAGGCGGGUAGGAGCAAUAGAUUUCACCAUAUGAAUCAUGCAUGACGAUAAUUUCGACCAUUCAGGUAACAAUUUUACCACAGUAAAAAUACUAAUAGUAUUCCUGUCAAACUGCUAUCAGGGUGCUCAAGAACAUAUCAUCCAGCAUCAUUGCUCUUGUCACAGAGAAAGGUAAACAUGAAGUUGCAGCAAAUAUGCAAGGUCAAAAGGAUUCUGAAACUUACUUAAACAUGACUACUUCUUUUGUGGUGGUGAUGUUCAGGGGCCCAUCAUUUGGACCUGAGAUUUGCAACCAAGGAUGAUCCAGACUGGGUUGUAGAACAAAGGAGACAGGAAGUUGUGAUCAUACAUGGAUGGAUAGAUCAGUAUAACAAGGACAUUGCACAGAUGUAGCAGUAAGAAGGCGCCAUUAAUUUUCAGUCAAGGAAAAUAAAUGUGGCUACAUGGAAAAUGCAAGGACUUUCCUUUCUUCUACAGGGCGAUAAGUACAAAAACUUAAGAUAGUGCAUUAGUGCAACUUCAAAUUCAACAAGACACCAGAAAUUUUUGAACUUAAGCAGUCAUAAACGGAUCAUGAAUGCAGAGGUUCUCUUUUUCUACUUAUGGAACUGUUGCGGUGAACAGUGAAUUUAUCAACCAGAAAAUAAUUAAGACCAGCUUAAAAGCUAAAGCUAUGUCGAUGGAAGCCCCUAACCCUGCUUCUAACUUUUUUCUAGAAUAUGCAUAACAUUUGUAUCAUUGCAUUAAGAAGUGGCAAAGACGCCGGGUACAACACCUUUUGGCCAUUACAAUGCCAAUCUCUAGGACUAGCAACCACAUCCACCACGCACACCACCACACCCACUACGAAACAUGCCACACCUAGUCCAGCCUCAUGCUGAUGACAAUGAGACAAGACAUAGAGCAUCAAGCCGUGUCACAACCAACACCGAAGAUCUCUACAACAAAACCAAGACUCGUGGACAACACGGACCAACGUAUCCCCACCCAUUGCGCCAUGAGAAAGUCGGGGCGCGAACGCACCUAGAAGAGGCGUCGUCGAGAGAGCGUCGACAAUGGUGUACAUUGUGCCCUGGAGUCCCACGCCUAGAGCAGUAGCCGACACUUCCUCAAGCCACACCCCCGCGACUCCUCGAGCAACAAGAUGACACCUCCAAGAAGGGAACAACGUCAAGAUGCCGCCGCCGCCCUGCUUCUAACUGAACUACGACAAUUUGCACAAUUUCAUGGAUACAAUAUGCAAGAUCAACAGUCGGUUAACACACAUGCAGAAACAUCUCUCAAAAUACAUGAAAGCAUCAUCUCGAGAGAAAUCCAGCAUCGAUAAGAAGUUUCAUUUAUACACAUGACCAACUCAGCAGAUUCACAUGCCAAGUCUGAAAAGUGUAGAGAUAGUGUUAAAUGACCAUAAAGACCUGCACCCUCGGCCUUCCUUCCCUCCUCCUGCCCCCUGCCGCUGCCGGCGGGUGACCCCGGCUCCGGCCCGGGUGGUGCCGCCGGCGGCGGGAUCUCCUCUUCCCGCGCGCUCGUCCUCCCUUCCCGGGGCGGGGGGCGGCGGCGGUGUCACUCGGCGAGGCGGAGGUCCGGCGACCCGGCGGGGUGGCCGGCGGCGGAUGUGGUGGCGGCGCUGCUCGUUGGCGGCGGGGCGGCGCGGUGGUGCAGGGUGGCCGACGGCGUGUCCCGCUCAGAUCUGGGCCCUGCGGGCCCCAUCUGGGUCUUAGCGGGUCGGUCCCCGGCGUGGCUUCGUUGUCUUUUGCAUGGUGAGGAAGAGGAGCAGCUCGGACCGGGGGCGGCGACGUCGACGGCGUGCCUGCUGCAGCGCGCAGGCGGGAGCUUUCCAGGCCUACGAGGGCCCGGCUGGGUAUAUGUGUUUUGUAAGUUUUAUAUAUUUUGUCCGGCCUGUUGAACUUGCGCAGUUGCAUUGUUGAUUUAUUUUGGUAAAAUGCACAGCCAUAUCUAGCUGCUGAGAAAACCGAUGGAAGCUACGAUUUUGACAGAACCAUUUUUGGUGUCAAAACAUCUCAGCGUCGUCGAGAUUAAAUGUAGGGCAAAAGAUGAGCGAGCUCACAAAAUUUCAAAGGCCCUUUGUUCGUAUGGAGUAUCUGCUGAUAAAAUCAACAUCAAGGAAAGAAUACGGUCCUCCAGUGGUAAGUCAAAAUUUCAAUCUUCCUAGAAUUUUGGUGUUUUUUGCAUUCCCAUUUCAUGUUGUAUGUGUUAAUUCAAAGCCGGGCUUUUGAGCCUUUUCUCUUAAAAAUGUUGUAUGUGUUAAUUAAUUUCGUAACCGAUAUUUUAAUAUAGUUGAAGAACUAAAUGUGUAAAUGAUACGUAUCAAGGGGAAAUUGUUCUUCUGAAGUCAUGUUAUAAUCUUGUGAUUUUAAAAUUGUCGGUCUUCCCACGGCAAGGCAAAGUUUCAGUCUUCCUAGAUUUUGAAGUUUUUCGGAUUCCCAUACCAUGUACUCCAUCGGUUCUAAAAUACUUGACUUUCAUUUGUCCAAAAAUGAAUGUACCUAUAUACUAAAAUAUGUCUAGAUGCAUCUAUAUUUUGACAAAUGAAAGACAUGUAUUGUGGAACGGAGGGAUAUGUGUUAAAUUUGCCAACGGUAUUCUUUAAAUUAAGUUAGUCGGAACAGUGAAUGUGUAAAUGAUGAGCAUCAAAGGGGAACUUGUUCUUCUGAAGUCAAAUUAUUAGUCUCCUGCAAAAUUUUUUUUCAAAUUAUUAGUCUUGGUGAUUUUUAAAUUUUUGGUCUUCCCACACUAAGUUAAACUUUCUAUCAGCUUCAUGCAUGUUGCUAAACUAAAGUACGGUUCUUCUGGCCCCGCAACAUUUAAAUCAAACAAUAUGCCAGUCCAACUAAUUGCACUUUCUUUUUAUACUUGUACAGGAACAUAUUAUGAGUCUGACACGUCGGUCCAUUCGUAUUCAGACCCGGAGAAAUAUCAGUUUGACUAACAUUUGGAACAUUGUUAUGAAUUUACUUGCUUCACCAGGGGACCUUUUGCGUAUGUUUUAGUUGUUGAGUCAAGGCCUUUGUAGUUAAUUUCACAAAAUUGAAGUAUGGAUGCAAUUGGAAUUUGGUUCAGGGGUUGAACAUAAGCUAUCUUAUCUGCUUUGUACUUUUUGUUUGUGUCAUAUUCCCGUUUCAUUUUCUGGAACUUGCUACAUUGUUUUGCAUUACAUAUCAUGUGUUUUCUUAUUCACUUACCAUAGUCACCACACAAAAACAAAGAUUAGUUACCCGUUCACCCUGUGCCGCUCCCGCGAGAGGCCAGGGCCACCACNNNNNNNNNNNNNNNNNNNNNNNNNNNNNNNNNNNNNNNNNNNNNNNNNNNNNNNNNNNNNNNNNNNNNNNNNNNNNNNNNNNNNNNNNNNNNNNNNNNNNNNNNNNNNNNNNNNNNNNNNNNNNNNNNNNNNNNNNNNNNNNNNNNNNNNNNNNNNNNNNNNNNNNNNNNNNNNNNNNNNNNNNNNNNNNNNNNNNNNNNNNNNNNNNNNNNNNNNNNNNNNNNAGUCGUGCUGUGGUGCUAGCGGCCGCAAGGCCUCGCGUGGCUAGGGCCGUCCUCUAGGAUGGCUCGGUGGUGCUCCGGAUCUGACGGCGCGGGUUGCGGGCUGCGGGCGGCAUGGACGAGCGACCGUGGCCUCCUCGGUUGUGGGCGUUGGUGGUGUGCUGGGAUGGUGGGCGGGCGGCGCGUGAUGGCAUCUUCAGUAAGAUCCCUUCGCUGCUGUUGCGGUUCGAUUUGGUACCCCUCAUCUAUGGGCGCGCUAUUGCUGGUUGCCUCACGGGGAUGUGUGUCGGCUGCCAUGGUGAGGCGACACAAGGAUGUGCUCGAUGGGGAGCUCGGUAGGAGGCACGGGUGGCCUCGAUGUGGCUGCGUCACCUGUCGCUGGGACAGGGGUGUGCCGGUCCGGAUGCAUCCGCUCCUCCUUCUCCCCCUUUUCUCAUGUUUGGCGGGGAGGUAGGUAGGAGGGAUGGGUGGAUGCGGUUGUGUCACCUGUCGCGGACACAAUAGUGUGCUGGUCUAGAUGCGUCUGCUACUCCUUCUCCCCCUUUCUUGUCGCGGGCGGGUCACCGCAGGUUUGCCGAUGAACGUCUGCUGAUGGCUCCGUCGGUCGGGGGUUGUCGGUUGGGCCAAAGCUGGGGCCUUUGCGUGGUCUCGGGGUUGUCUGAUUGUGAUACGUCUCUAAUGUAUCUAUAAUUUUUGAUUGUUCCAUGCUAUUAUAUUAUCAAUCUUGGAUGUUUUAUAUGCAUUAUUUGGUUAUUUUAUAUCAUUUUUUGGAACUAACAUAUUAACCUAGUGCCAAGUGCCAGUUGCUGUUUUUUCUUGUUUUUGUCUUUACAGAAAAUCAAUACCAAACGGAGUCCAAAUGAAAUGAAACUUUUUGAUAAUUUUUCUUGGACCACAAAACACCCUGAAAGCUUCGGGAGGAGGCCAGAUGAGCCAUGAGGCGACGGCAAGCUCAGGGGGCGUGCCCGGGGGGCAAGCUAGUGGGCUCCACGUGGUUCCUCUAACCCUAAUUCUUCUUCUAUAAAUUCUCAAAUAUUCCGCGAAGUCCACAGGGCACACCAAAAAUACGUUUCCACCAUUGCAAGUUUCUGUCUUUGUGAGAUCUCAUAUGGGGACCUUUUUCGGUACUCUGCCGGAGGGGGAUUCGAUCAUGGAGGGCUUCUGCAUCAAUCUUGCUGCCCGUCCAAUGAUGUGUGAGUAGUUUACCACAGACCUACGGGUCUGUGGCACCCCGGCUCGGAGAAAACCGGAACGCCCCGUAUUCCAGCCCAGAGAUCGAGAUGAAGUCUUCUGGAAUACGACACUGCUUAGCAUAGAACAAACCAGCCUUCUAUUAUUACACGAAUAUGAAUACAAGGUCUCUGAUAUUACAAUGAAUAACAUCGGUACGGCGACACUACGCCUGCCACUGUUGCUCUAUGCAAGCAGCAGAACAACACGAUGCAGCGGAAGAACUCUAGCAGCGGAACAAUGACGACGGUGGUGAACUCCACUCCGCAGGGACUCUGGCUGGAACGCUUAUCCUAGCUCGCACGAACGGAAACCACGACAAGCAAGCAAUCAAAUUCGGCAUGACCUGCAAGCUGGCAUGACACGCCAGGUCAGUGCAUUGAAUGUACUUGCAAGCUCAAAAUAACCAGAAGCAUUCAGGACAGACAACAUCAUGGCAAUUACAGGUUAAAGAGGAGUUAUCAUGAGAUCAUCAGAAUAACAUGGCAUGACCAACAUAAACAUGGUACAACUAACACAACAUGAACAUAUCAAUCCGACAAUACUAGCAUGCAACAUGAUGCCACUAUAUGCACCACUUAUCCUGCUCGAUUUACCUCGUAACCAACACAUGCAUCACUUACCAACCUCGGACAUCACACGAUCAUCUCAGGAUCAAAUCAAGCUUGGUAUAAACAAUACCAUAGUAAUCA
RNAcentral lists this long non-coding RNA (31486 nucleotides) under Triticum aestivum (bread wheat). Its description in RNAcentral is "long non-coding RNA (TAES_LNC017002)". Lineage: Eukaryota; Viridiplantae; Streptophyta; Magnoliopsida; Poales; Poaceae. The record is from RNAcentral.